This 791-nucleotide long non-coding RNA is filed under the name Rattus norvegicus (Norway rat). RNAcentral's name for it is "long non-coding RNA NONRATT015728". Lineage: Eukaryota; Metazoa; Chordata; Mammalia; Rodentia; Muridae. The record is from RNAcentral.
GCUGCCCAGACGUCUGCCCAGCUGUGAGCGUCUACUCAGCCUCUGCCACACUACUUUAACGCGUGUUUGACGGCAUUAUUUAGUUUUAUUUCUGUAUUUGUAUAUAGGUUCCACUUUCUUCUCUAUCUGAGGAGCAGUUGGAAACCUUAAUUAAGAAAUUGAGAAAAGCAAGUGAAGGUAAGUCUGCUAAAGUUGUGGGCUUAACUAUCUGAGAAGCACUGGGUGACUUAUGAGUUACUCCGUCCUGCCGUUCAGAGUCUCAGUUCAUGUCUCUCUGCUUAAGCUAUCAUGUUUCUUUUUGGCACAGGCUUGAACUCUACACAUGAAGAUCACAUUAUGUCCCAUCCAGCAUUACACGACGCCCUUAAUGACCCGAGAAAUGGUGAUUGUGCAGUCAAGCACCUGAAACAGCAGGUAUGUUUGGACACAAUCACUCAACGUUUCUUCAUAUGUUUAGUGCUAGCAUCCCAAGCUGAGGAGAUGGCUCACCAGAUAAAGGUGCUCGCUGCCAAGCCUAAUGGCCUGAGUUCAGUCAUCUGAAUCUUACAAAGUGUCCUCCGACUGCUACAUGCACACACAAGUGUGUAUGCUCACAAUAAAUAAAAGUAAUUUUUUAAAAGCUAACAUUCUAGUUAGGUAUGGUGGUAUAUACCUCUAAUCCAGAACUCAGUAGAUAGAGACAAGCAGAUCUGAGUUUGAGGCCAUCCUGGUCUACAGAGUGAGUUCUAGGACAGCCUGGGUUACAGAGAGAAACCUUGUCUUGAGAAAACAAUCAAAAAAAAAAAAAAAAA